GCCUGACAGUGGCUUCUGAGUCUCCUCCUUGGUUCGUACUCUGGUCUAAGCAAGGAUCUGGAAUCUGGGCCUGUGCUUACAAAGAGACUAUGAAGCAGGUGGCAAAAGUGACUGUGCUCCUGAUCUUGGCCUCGUGGAGCCUUGCCAAGACCACCCAGCCCCUCGCCAUGGACUCCUAUGAAGGGCAAGAAGUGAAUGUGUCCUGCAGCCAUACAGACAUUGCUACAAGCGAGUACAUGUACUGGUACCGUCAGAUCCCCCACCAGGGCCCACAGUUUAUUAUUCAAGGAUAUAAGGACUAUGCGGCCAAUGAAGUGGCAUCUCUGUUUAUCUCUGCUGACAGGAAGCUCAGCACUCUGAGCCUGCCCUGGGUUUCCCUGACAGACAGUGCUGUGUAUUACUGCAUUGUGGCUGACACACAGUGAGACAGCUGGCUCUGCACCUGUGCAGUAUCCUGACGUGGAAUGGGAGUCAUAUUCUAGAUGGAAGUACAGACACAGUGCUUUGCAAAGUGCCACUGUAUUUUCAUUUUUAGAAGGUGUAAGCAUGCAUUCUUAUGUUACCUAAUUUUUUUGUUAUCUACUUUAGAAUUCACUCAAUUUUAAACAGGCAUUUCAGUUUAGAUGGUGUUAAAUUUAAAAAGUAUGAGGGCAGGAGCUGGGGAAAUGUUUCAGUGGUUAAGAGUACUUUUUGCUACAGCUGCUGCCCACAUCCCUGGAGACCUGUUGCCAGAGCAACCAGGUGAGAUUCCCCAAGCCUCAAAAUCUUUCUCACUGGGUCCCCUCCAAGCCCAGCAGCCCUGAGGUCUCUGCCCUGUACUCUCUUUGCUCCAUCUUCUGGUCCACACCUCUAACUACAAUCCCAGAGGCCUGCAGCCACCAGGGACCACCAAGAGAAGACCCUCUUAAACCCCUGCCCUUAAUUUCCUGCCUGCUGGCCCCUCCAGGCAAACCCAGCAGCAGCCAUCUUUGUCCUGGCCACUCUGCACUCCAUUUCCCAGACCACAGUUCUGCCUGCAUCCCUGGAGACUUGCUGCGACUGGGGCCAACCAGCUCUAUCUGCAAUUCCAUAGGCCUGCUCCCUUCAGGGACCACAAGGCAUCCAAACUCAAGGAACAACCAAUGGCUAAAAGACAGCAUAAGAAAAUAAUCAACAAAAACCAGGGCAAUAUGACACUACCGGAACCCAGCUAUCUUACUACAACAAGCCCUGGACAUCCUAAUAUACCUGAAGUAAAAGAAAAUGACCUUCAACAUAAUCUUAUGAAGAUGAGAGAGGCCUUUAAAGAAGAAAUGAAUAAAUCUCUUAAAGAAAUACAGGAAAAUACAAUUAAACAGGUAGAGGCCUUUAAAGAGGAAAUGAAUAAAUAUAAAAAAAAAUACAGGAAAAUACAAUCAAACAGGUGGAGAAAAAUGAAUAAAAUGGUUUAAGACCUAAAAACAGAAAUAGGAACAAUAAAGAAAACACAAAAUGAAGCAAUUCUGGAGAUGAAAAACCUAGGAAAGAGAACAGGAACAAGAGACUCAGACACCACCAACACAAUAUAAGAGAUGGAAGUGAGAAUCUCAGGCUUAGAAAAUUUGGAAAAUGCUAAAGCUAAAAAGUUUCUAACACAAAAUAUCCAAGAAAUUUGGGAUACUAUGAAAAGACCAAACCUAAGAAUCAUAGGAAUAGAAGAACAGUGCCAAUUCUAAGGCCCAGAAGAUAUCUUCAGUGUAGAGGAAAAUUUUCCUAACGUAAAGAAAGAGAUGCCUUUAAACAUACAAGAAGCUUACACAACACCAAAUAGAUUGGACCAGAAAAGAAAAUCCUCCUGCUACAUAAUUAUUAAAACAGUAAAUGAACAGAAUAGAGAAAAGAAUAUUAAAAGUCACAAGGGUUAAAGGCCAAGUAACAUAAAGGCAGACCAAAUAGCAUUACACCAGACUUCUCAAAAGAGACUUUAAAAGCCAGAUGAUCCUGGACAGAUGUCUUAUAGUCUCUGAGAGAUCAUGGAUGGCAGUCCAGACAAUUAUACCAAAUCAUUCGUACUAUGGCAAACCUUUCAUUCACCAUAGACAGAGAAAACAGGAUAUUCCAAGACAAAAGCAAAUUUAAACAAUAUAUUUCCAUUAAUCCAGCCCUACAGAAGGUACUAGAAGGAAAACUCUAACACAAGGAGAGUGAUUACACCCAAGAACAUUGGAAAUGAUAACUCCACACCAGCCAACCAAAGGAAGGGAAGCACGCACAGACGUGUGUGUGUGUGUGUGUGUGUGUUUUCGCAUGCGCUCACACACGCGCACCCCCAAUUCAUUUUCAUAAAAUAAAAUAAAAUAAAUAAAAAUAAAAUGAGAUAAAUAUUAUAAAAUAAAA
Molecule: non-coding RNA, 2355 nt
Organism: Apodemus sylvaticus (European woodmouse)
Lineage: Eukaryota; Metazoa; Chordata; Mammalia; Rodentia; Muridae
Source: the annotation of a RefSeq genome assembly